UACGGAGGAUCCGAGCGUUAUCCGGAAUUAUUGGGUUUAAAGGGUGCGUAGGCGGCCAUUUAAGUCAGCGGUGAAAUUUUGCAGCUUAACUGUAACAGUGCCGUUGAUACUGUUUGGCUAGGAUUUGGUUGUAGUGUGCGGAAUGUGUGGUGUAGCGGUGAAAUGCUUAGGUAUCACACAGAACAUCGAUUGCGAAGGCAGCUCACAAAGCCAAGAUUGACGCUGAGGCACGAAAGUGUGGGGAUCAAACAGGAUUAGA
This 259-nucleotide ribosomal RNA is filed under the name uncultured prokaryote. RNAcentral describes it as "partial 16S ribosomal RNA". It matches the Rfam family "Bacterial small subunit ribosomal RNA", at positions 524 to 782 of the family's 1533-position model. The record is from RNAcentral.